Molecule: non-coding RNA, 97 nt
Filed under: Chlamydomonas leiostraca
Lineage: Eukaryota; Viridiplantae; Chlorophyta; Chlorophyceae; Chlamydomonadales; Chlamydomonadaceae
Source: RNAcentral
GGCAGGAGGCCGUGCAGGCGCUGCUGCAAGGCCCUGAUCUGCACCCUGACGUUAACUACAGCGACGGAGCCCCGCUCAGGCUGGCAGCAGAGCAGGG